UACGUAGGAGACGAGCGUUGUUCGGAUUCAUUGGGCGUAAAGGGUGUGUAGGUGGCGCCGUAAGUCGGGUGUGAAAUUUCGGAGCUUAACUCCGAAACUGCAUUCGAUACUGCGGUGCUUGAGGACUGGAGAGGAGACUGGAAUUCAUGGUGUAGCAGUGAAAUGCGUAGAGAUCAUGAGGAAGACCAGUGGCGAAGGCGGGUCUCUGGACAGUUCCUGACACUGAGACACGAAGGCCAGGGGAGCAAACGGG
Molecule: ribosomal RNA, 253 nt
Filed under: uncultured bacterium
Lineage: Bacteria
Description: partial 16S ribosomal RNA
Rfam family: Bacterial small subunit ribosomal RNA
Source: RNAcentral